GGAAGACUGCCAGAACGGUCAAUGGCCCCGCUUUGAAAGCGGUGAGAGUGCGCAAGCGCUGUGGGGGUUCGAGUCCGCCCGUCUUCCGCCA
Molecule: transfer RNA, 91 nt
Filed under: Burkholderia cepacia
Lineage: Bacteria; Pseudomonadati; Pseudomonadota; Betaproteobacteria; Burkholderiales; Burkholderiaceae
Also listed under: 6 other names
Description: tRNA-Ser
Rfam family: tRNA
About the family: Transfer RNA (tRNA) molecules are approximately 80 nucleotides in length. Their secondary structure includes four short double-helical elements and three loops (D, anti-codon, and T loops).
Source: RNAcentral